RNAcentral lists this ribosomal RNA (585 nucleotides) under uncultured bacterium. RNAcentral's name for it is "bacterial SSU rRNA". It matches the Rfam family "Bacterial small subunit ribosomal RNA", at positions 37 to 633 of the family's 1533-position model. The record is from RNAcentral.
UGGCGGCGUGCUNAUACAUGCAAGUCGAACGGACUUAGCGGAGCUUGCUCUGCGAAAGUUAGUGGCGGACGGGUGAGUAACGCGUGAGCAACCUGGCCUUCGAAGGGGGACAACAGCUGGAAACGGCUGCUAAUACCGCAUGAUAUACAGUUAUGGCAUCAUGAUUGUAUCAAAGAUUUAUCGUCGAAGGAUGGGCUCGUGUCUGAUUAGCUGGUUGGUAGGGUAACGGCCUACCAAGGCGACGAUCAGUAGCCGGACUGAGAGGUUGACCGGCCACAUUGGGACUGAGAUACGGCCCAGACUCCUACGGGAGGCAGCAGUAGGGAAUAUUGGGCAAUGGGGGCAACCCUGACCCAGCAACGCCGCGUGAAGGAAGAAGGCAUUCGUGUUGUAAACUUCUUUGACGAGGGAUGAAUGUGAUGACAGUACCUCGAGAACAAGCCACGGCUAACUACGUGCCAGCAGCCGCGGUAAUACGUAGGUUGGCGAGCGUUAUCCGGAAUUACUGGGUGUAAAGGGCGUGUAGGCGGGUUAUUAAGUCUGACGUGAAAUCCAGGGGCUUAACCCCUGAAUGGCGUUGGAAAC